AGAGUUUGAUCAUGGCUCAGAACGAACGCUGGCGGCGUGCUUAACACAUGCAAGUCGAACGAGAAGUACGUAGCAAUACGUAUUGUAAAGUGGCGCACGGGUGAGUAACACGUGGGUAAUCUGCCCUUGAGUUUGGGAUAACCCCGCGAAAGCGGGGCUAAUACCGAAUAAGACCACGGGGACCAAAGUCCCUGGGGUAAAAGGUGGCCUCUAUUUAUAAGCUACCCCUUGAGGAUGAGCCCGCGGCCCAUUAGCUAGUUGGCGGGGUAAUGGCCCACCAAGGCAAUGAUGGGUAGCUGGUCUGAGAGGACGAUCAGCCACACUGGAACUGAGACACGGUCCAGACUCCUACGGGAGGCAGCAGUGGGGAAUAUUGCGCAAUGGGCGAAAGCCUGACGCAGCAACGCCGCGUGGGGGAUGAAGGUUUUCGGAUUGUAAACCCCUUUCGAUCGGAACGAAUCUCCUUCUGGUAAAUAAUCAGGAGGAUCGACGGUACCGGGAGAAGAAGCCACGGCUAACUCUGUGCCAGCAGCCGCGGUAAGACAGAGGUGGCAAGCGUUGUUCGGAUUUAUUGGGCGUAAAGCGAACGCAGGCGGUUUGGUAAGUCAGAGGUGAAAGACCACAGCUUAACUGUGGUAUUGCCUUUGAUACUGCCUUUCUUGAGUGGAGUAGGGGGAAGCGGAAUUCCGAGUGUAGAGGUGAAAUUCGUAGAUAUUCGGAGGAACACCGGUGGCGAAGGCGGCUUCCUGGACUCUAACUGACGCUCAUGUUCGAAAGCGUGGGUAGCAAACAGGAUUAGAUACCCUGGUAGUCCACGCCCUAAACGAUGGGCACUAGGUGUGGGAGGUAUCGACCCCUUCCGUGCCGCAGCUAACGCAUUAAGUGCCCCGCCUGGGGAGUACGGCCGCAAGGUUGAAACUCAAAGGAAUUGACGGGGGCCCGCACAAGCGGUGGUGCAUGUGGUUUAAUUUCGACGCAACGCGAAGAACCUUACCUAGGCUUGACAUCCCUGGAACCUCCUGGAAACAGGGGGGUGCUCGCAAGAGAGCCAGGAGACAGGUGCUGCAUGGCCUGUC
This 1076-nucleotide ribosomal RNA is filed under the name uncultured delta proteobacterium. Its description in RNAcentral is "bacterial SSU rRNA". It matches the Rfam family "Bacterial small subunit ribosomal RNA", at positions 8 to 1053 of the family's 1533-position model. Lineage: Bacteria; Deltaproteobacteria. The record is from RNAcentral.